GCGGGGCGAGCGGAGAGGCCCGCGGGGCUCGCGGGAGUCCAGGGGCAGACGGGAUGGGUCUCCGUGCUGAAACCCCCAGCGCUCCGGCCACAAGGUAAGAAUCCCAGAGUCCCUGGGACUCAUGACUCUGCCUCCUGAAUCUCUCCGGAAGACCUGAGAGAAGAACCACAGAUGUGCUUGUACCCUUUAAAAACAGCCCUCUUCAAAGAACAAAACCAUUGAGUCAG
RNAcentral lists this long non-coding RNA (227 nucleotides) under Pan troglodytes (chimpanzee). RNAcentral describes it as "long non-coding RNA NONPTRT003814". Lineage: Eukaryota; Metazoa; Chordata; Mammalia; Primates; Hominidae. The record is from RNAcentral.